Long non-coding RNA from Ficedula albicollis (Collared flycatcher), 388 nucleotides. RefSeq lists it as uncharacterized. The transcript is spliced from 4 exons. NCBI's taxonomy places the organism in Eukaryota, Metazoa, Chordata, Aves, Passeriformes, Muscicapidae. The record is from RefSeq and is a predicted model, not a curated record.
AUGAGGGAUGAAUGAAUACACAGGGAGCAAAGAAAAGGCAGGGGAUCAAGCCAGAAGGAAUCAGUAGCGAAGAAGGGAUUGACAUUGACACUAAUGGGAAGGAGAUACUGCCAUGGUUUCCCAAAAAUGAGACAGAAUGUUUUCUCCUGAGGGGUAUGCGUUGGAAACAGACAAAAGGGAGGACAUGCAACUGUCAGACAAGUACAGAGGGGUGAAGCACAUCUAUGUCAACAAGGAUGCAACGCAGAACAGAAACCUGGAUCAAUAUUCUGUCAGACCCUUUAAUUAUGAGCUCAUUUUGUUGUACUGAUUGAUGGUACAUCUACUACAACUCCCUGUGUAUCCCGCUGAUCCUUGUUUUUCCCAAGAUAAGGCAGCCCAAGCCUUC